ACCGGGAAGAUGGCGGCGGCGUUGACCUUCCGCCGGCUGCUGGCUCUCCCCAGUGCUGCGCGGGGUUUCGGGGUGCGAGUGUCGUCGAGCGGGGAGAAGAUCACGCACACCGGCCAGGUAACGGCCGCCGCCGCCGCCGCGCCUGGAGCCCGAGACUGACGGUGGCGGGGCGCCUAGCAAGGUUUAUGAUGAAAAAGACUAUAGGAGGAUUCGGUUUGUAGAUCGUCAGAAAGAGGUGAAUGAGAACUUUGCCAUUGAUUUGAUAGCAGAGCAGCCGGUGAAUGAGGUGGACCAUCGGAUCAUAGCCUGCGAUGGCGGUGGUGGUGCCCUGGGCCACCCCAAAGUGUACAUAAAUUUGGACAAAGAAACAAAAACGGGGACAUGUGGCUACUGUGGCCUGCAGUUCAAGCAGCAUCAUCAUUAGUGUGGCUGACCUGGUCCUCUGACACCGGUGCAAUACCUGUCUCCACGUGAGGUGUUUAGGUGUGACGUCACCGCUCUGUGAACGGUGUCCCUUCUUAUGAAUAAAAGAUGCUACCAUCAUGGACA
This is an RNA transcript of Microtus ochrogaster (prairie vole), 549 nucleotides long. It is a transcript of the gene named NADH:ubiquinone oxidoreductase subunit S6, with no coding region annotated. The record is from RefSeq and is a predicted model, not a curated record. The transcript has 4 exons. Lineage: Eukaryota; Metazoa; Chordata; Mammalia; Rodentia; Cricetidae.